This 270-nucleotide ribosomal RNA is filed under the name uncultured Actinomycetales bacterium. RNAcentral describes it as "partial 16S ribosomal RNA". It matches the Rfam family "Bacterial small subunit ribosomal RNA", at positions 355 to 638 of the family's 1533-position model. The record is from RNAcentral. Lineage: Bacteria; Bacillati; Actinomycetota; Actinomycetes; Actinomycetales.
UGGGGAAUAUUGCACAAUGGGCGAAAGCCUGAUGCAGCGACGCCGCGUGAGGGAUGACUGCCUUCGGGUUGUAAACCUCUUUCAGCAGGGACGAAGCGAAAGUGACGGUACCUGCAGAAGAAGCACCGGCCAACUACGUGCCAGCAGCCGCGGUAAUACGUAGGGUGCAAGCGUUGUCCGGAAUUAUUGGGCGUAAAGAGCUCGUAGGCGGCUCGUCGCGUCGGCUGUGAAAACCUGGGGCUCAACCCCGGCCUGCAGCCGAUACGGGCG